RNAcentral lists this long non-coding RNA (606 nucleotides) under Setaria viridis. RNAcentral's name for it is "long non-coding RNA (SVIR_LNC003357)". The record is from RNAcentral. Lineage: Eukaryota; Viridiplantae; Streptophyta; Magnoliopsida; Poales; Poaceae.
GCAGUUUUGCAUCCACCAACUCUUGGAUGGCCUCUUUUUCCAUGGUGGACAUCCUCCAAGUAGAUGCUUGAUUCGGCGGGAUGGUCGGAUUGGUAGGCCCACAUUUGUGCAGGGGAAGCUGCGGCUCUUUCCCUUUCUUGGACUCCUUCGUUGAUCCCUCCUCGGCCUUUCCCUUGGACUUGUCAGUUUUCUUCCCCAUCUUCUUUACACGCAUCACCACGGGCUGUGCAAGGGGAGGAAGAGAAAGCUACUUGAGCUUGCUAGUUUUGGCUAAUGGUGGCGGUGGCGCUAGGGUUUUUUCAAGAUGGAGAGUGAAUAGAUGCAAAUGGACGGAAGCGUAAACCACGGAGGCUACUGCCCUUAUCUUUUGUAAUAGAGCAACAGAUCUAAAACAGCCCCGAGAUUCUGGUAACGGAGUUGGUAAUUUCGCAAUGGUCUGAUACUCUCAACAUUUAUCGCGAGAAUGAAGUCCAACGGUCAUGUUGAUCAUGAUUGACCCCAUCAUCGCUUGAACGUAGUCAAUCAAAGUGCUUGGGGGUUGCAUACACCUUGCCCGUCAGACAUAAUUUUCUUUUUCUUCAGGGAUUAAGGAAAGACAAAGCAAAU